GAUGAAGAACGCAGUGAAAUGCGGUACGUAAUGUGAAUUGCAAAUUCAGUGAAUCAUCGAGUCUUUGAACGCACAUUGCGCCCCCUGGUAUUCCGGGGGGCAUGCCUGUCCGAGCGUCAUUGCUGCCCUCAAGCACGGCUUGUGUGUUGGGCCCCGUCCUCCGAUCCCGGGGGACGGGCCCGAAAGGCAGCGGCGGCACCGCGUCCGGUCCUCGAGCGUAUGGGGCUUUGUCACCCGCUCUGUAGGCCCGGCCGGCGCUUGCCGAUCAACCCAAAUUUUUAUCCAGGUUGACCUCGGAUCAGGUAGGGAUACCCGCUGAACUUAAGCAUAUCAAAGCGGAGGA
This 343-nucleotide unclassified non-coding RNA is filed under the name soil metagenome. RNAcentral describes it as "partial contains 5.8S ribosomal RNA, internal transcribed spacer 2, and large subunit ribosomal RNA". The stretch from base 1 to 119 matches the Rfam family "5.8S ribosomal RNA", at positions 35 to 154 of the family's 154-position model. The record is from RNAcentral.